Molecule: ribosomal RNA, 373 nt
Filed under: Ctenophora environmental sample
Lineage: Eukaryota; Metazoa; Ctenophora
Description: partial Bacterial large subunit ribosomal RNA
Rfam family: Bacterial large subunit ribosomal RNA
Source: RNAcentral
ACUCGAGUAGGGCGGGACACGUGAAAUCCUGACUGAACAUGGGGGGACCAUCCUCCAAGCCUAAGUACUCCUACAUGACCGAUAGUGAACCAGUACCGUGAGGGAAAGGUGAAAAGCACCCCGACGAGGGGAGUGAAACAGACCCUGAAACUGGACGCCUACAAGCAGUCGGAGGGCGAAAGCCUGACGGCGUACCUUUUGUAUAAUGGGUCAGCGACUUCGUCUCACGAGCAAGCUUAAGCCGUUAGGUGUAGGCGCAGCGAAAGCGAGUCUUAAUAGGGCGACUGAGUUCGUGGGAUGAGACCCGAAGCCGAGUGAUCUAGCCAUGGGCAGGAUGAAGGUGCGGUAACACGCACUGGAGGACCGAACCCAC